This 685-nucleotide long non-coding RNA is filed under the name Volvox carteri. RNAcentral describes it as "long non-coding RNA (VCAR_LNC003405)". Lineage: Eukaryota; Viridiplantae; Chlorophyta; Chlorophyceae; Chlamydomonadales; Volvocaceae. The record is from RNAcentral.
UCACAUUUAAAAGGCUAUCGAUUAUCAACAUGCAGCACAUUCGAACGAUAACCACGGUGUGGUGCAUAAUGCCGAACAAGAAGCGCAAAGCUUCCACAAAGCUAGGAACACCUACAGCCUUUAUUAAAAGAUAACCUUACAAGAUAUAAAUCAGGUUUUAUUUGGCGCUGUAAAACGUCUUAAUCCGAGAUUGUCAAGCUGUUACUUGGUGGCCACCAAGUAGCAAUUUUUUCCACCAAAUUUUCUAUUAUGGGUAUAGAACUCUUAACCAAUCCCGCCAACCUUAAUCCGCCUAAUCCGUCGCGCUAAGUUUCCAUAUGGAACGUAUUAAGCCUUAAUCCGUGACUUAAUCCAACUGGAAGCACCCCCUUAGGGAUAACAUGACUGUUUGCUUCUCGUGAAAGUAUGUUCUGUCGAGGAAUAGCAUCAAUCAAGCUCCUUUGAAAAUGAACAUGGACGGCUCGUGCGACAGAGCGGGGGCCCCUUCGCCACUGCGCCGACACCUACGGAAGGUACGUACCGUAGCCGCUGACAUCCUUGAGAAUAUGGCGGGUGCCUCCUUUGACAUCUUUCGUGGUCUGCGACAGAUAUGCGAAGGGAUUCUGCGUGCUUGAACUACGCAUGCACGGGCGACAUAGCCAUCUCAAGCCACUCACGACGUUCAGGUUCUCCCAAGUUAGCGUUG